UGGGAUAUAGCUCAGUGGUAGAGCACUUCUAGCAUGGGGGAGCCUCUAGGUUCAACCCCUAGUACCACAA
Molecule: transfer RNA, 70 nt
Filed under: Ictidomys tridecemlineatus (thirteen-lined ground squirrel)
Lineage: Eukaryota; Metazoa; Chordata; Mammalia; Rodentia; Sciuridae
Description: Spermophilus tridecemlineatus (thirteen-lined ground squirrel) tRNA
Rfam family: tRNA
About the family: Transfer RNA (tRNA) molecules are approximately 80 nucleotides in length. Their secondary structure includes four short double-helical elements and three loops (D, anti-codon, and T loops). Further hydrogen bonds mediate the characteristic L-shaped molecular structure. tRNAs have two regions of fundamental functional importance: the anti-codon, which is responsible for specific mRNA codon recognition, and the 3' end, to which the tRNAs corresponding amino acid is attached (by aminoacyl-tRNA synthetases). tRNAs cope with the degeneracy of the genetic code in two manners: having more than one tRNA (with a specific anti-codon) for a particular amino acid; and 'wobble' base-pairing, i.e. permitting non-standard base-pairing at the 3rd anti-codon position.
Source: Rfam by way of RNAcentral